ACUCCUACGGGAGGCAGCAGUAGGGAAUCUUCCACAAUGGGCGCAAGCCUGAUGGAGCAACACCGCGUGAGUGAAGAAGGGUUUCGGCUCGUAAAGCUCUGUUGUUAAAGAAGAACACGUAUGAGAGUAACUGUUCAUACGUUGACGGUAUUUAACCAGAAAGUCACGGCUAACUACGUGCCAGCAGCCGCGGUAAUACGUAGGUGGCAAGCGUUAUCCGGAUUUAUUGGGCGUAAAGAGAGUGCAGGCGGUUUUCUAAGUCUGAUGUGAAAGCCUUCGGCUUAACCGGAGAAGUGCAUCGGAAACUGGAUAACUUGAGUGCAGAAGAGGUAGUGGAACUCCAUGUGUAGCGGUGGAAUGCGUAGAUAUAUGGAAGAACACCGAGUGGCGAAGGCGGCUACCUGGUCUGCAACUGACGCUGAGACUCGAAAGCAUGGGUAGCGAACAGGAUUAGAUACCCCUGGUAGGAUAGCG
Molecule: ribosomal RNA, 474 nt
Filed under: uncultured bacterium
Lineage: Bacteria
Description: bacterial SSU rRNA
Rfam family: Bacterial small subunit ribosomal RNA
Source: RNAcentral